CAUUGAUGCAGUUCAAGAUUAUACUGGUUGUUUUGACAGCUAGGAGGAUUGAAGAAAAACUUACCCAGCAAAUGGCAAUCUUUUUGACAGAAAGUAAGGGGGAAAAUUACAAAUAAUUAAAAAAAAGGAGGAUUAGCUGAAUCUUGAAAUCAUUAAAAAAAUGCAUUAACAAUUCUGAGCCCAAUCGCAAGCGACCAUAAAAUCAUCAGUUUCUGUCAUCUACUCAACACAAGAAGAACAAAUCUUAUAUACCCAGAUGAAAUAAAACCAGAUUUCUCACUGAAACUGCUAAUAAUGAAAUUAAAGCAUUUCCAGCUUGAAAGGAUUAGCCAGUGACAUCAUUGUUGUCUGGUGGACUCCCAGUUGGAGGCUCCUUUCAUUUCCCUGGCAGGAGCUGGAGUGAAGGACGCGAGCUCAACCUCACUCCACAGCAGCUCUUGGGUCUCAAACACAGGCUUGCUAAACUCCAUCCCAGCAUCCUAAACAUGUGAGCCACUGUGGUCCUUUGAGGAAGACCUUAACUAAGCGUAAGAUGGUUAGGCACUAUCACUGAUAGCACAUGCAUGAGUUUACAAACACUAAAACAGCCAAUUACCAACCAAUUGACAAAAUGAUGUUCAUUUGUUGGCAAAGAGUCUGAAAAAGUUCAUUAUUUCUCUUGAAGGGAAUAUGAAUAAACAAAAAUAACUUCUGUA
Molecule: long non-coding RNA, 695 nt
Organism: Pantherophis guttatus
Lineage: Eukaryota; Metazoa; Chordata; Lepidosauria; Squamata; Colubridae
Source: RefSeq, a predicted model, not a curated record